CAGUCGUACCUAUGGGUAAUCAGCCUUUUGGGUGUGAUUUUGUGGAGCGUGAGGAGUUAAACGCCUUCAUGCCUGCAUAUUCGUGCACUUUGGGUGUACUUGCCCGUAUGGUUGGUUAACAUCAAUUUUGGUGGUCAUAAAAAUGGACUGGAGGAAUGUAGCUUCGAUCUCGUAUUGAAGUUGUUAAGCCUUCGGUAAUGUGAUGGAUCGAGAUUGA
Molecule: ribosomal RNA, 217 nt
Filed under: Rhizophagus irregularis
Lineage: Eukaryota; Fungi; Glomeromycota; Glomeromycetes; Glomerales; Glomeraceae
Source: RNAcentral